AACGAACGCUGGCGGCGCGCCUAAUACAUGCAAGUCGAGCGAGAAGACGUAGCAAUACGUUUGUAAAGCGGCGAACGGGUGAGGAAUACAUGGGUAACCUACCCUCGAGUGGGGAAUAACUAGCCGAAGGUUAGCUAAUACCGCGUACGCUCCUUGGACUUCGGUUCAGGGAGGAAAGCGAUACCGUGGGUAUCGCGCUCUUGGAUGGGCUCAUGUCCUAUCAGCUUGUUGGUGAGGUAACGGCUCACCAAGGCUUCGACGGGUAGCUGGUCUGAGAGGACGAUCAGCCACACUGGCACUGCGACACGGGCCAGACUCCUACGGGAGGCAGCAGUAAGGAAUAUUGCGCAAUGGGCGAAAG
Molecule: ribosomal RNA, 361 nt
Filed under: uncultured bacterium
Lineage: Bacteria
Description: bacterial SSU rRNA
Rfam family: Bacterial small subunit ribosomal RNA
Source: RNAcentral